RNAcentral lists this ribosomal RNA (517 nucleotides) under Neogloboquadrina pachyderma. RNAcentral describes it as "SSU rRNA". It matches the Rfam family "Eukaryotic small subunit ribosomal RNA", at positions 1164 to 1470 of the family's 1831-position model. Lineage: Eukaryota; Foraminifera; Rotaliida; Globorotaliidae. The record is from RNAcentral.
GCACCACAAGAACGCGUGGAGCAUGUGGCUUAAUUUGACUCAACGCGGGAAAUCUUACCGGGUCCGGACACACUGAGGAUUGACAGGCAAUAUCUCAUGUUAACGGUAAGUUUCUAACUUACCGCUUAGCAUCGAGUGUUAAAUAUGCUAGUCCUUUCAUGAUUAUGUGAUAGGUGGUGCAUGGCCGUUCUUAGUUCGUGGAGUGAUCUGUCUGCUUAAUUGCGUUUCACUAAGGGCCCAUAAAUUCAAGGUAUGUUAGCUCUCGUCGCUCUAUGGACCCCUUAACUCCAAUAUUCUUAUUGUGUUAAGCGCGUGUCUUUAUUUUAAGAGUUUUAAGACACUGCGCAUGCUGUUGGGCUCUGAAAGCAACGAACGUGACCGCAACGUCUUGUUGCCUUAAACUAGCGUAUAUUGCAAUUUAUUGCAAUAUCGCUUACAGAGGCUAUUUAAAACUAGACGGACCGCUGUUUUUUUCUUAAACCAGAGGAAGGUUGCGGCAAUAACAGGUCUGUGAUGC